RNAcentral lists this unclassified non-coding RNA (381 nucleotides) under Hevea brasiliensis (rubber tree). Lineage: Eukaryota; Viridiplantae; Streptophyta; Magnoliopsida; Malpighiales; Euphorbiaceae. The record is from RNAcentral.
GACAGCAUGAAAUUAAAGACGGCAGUUGAAGGUGUGAUUCCCCUUUCCUGAACAGCAGAAAAGAAGGACAUCAUAGCUUUGUGACGUCCCCACCGAGCAUAAGCGCACAACAUGGUACCACAAGCAACUUCAUCAGGUUCACACCCCGCUUCAAGCAUUUCCAGAAAGGUCUGCUCAGCUAGUUUGAUUUUCCCAACUUGGCCAUAUGCACGGAGAAUAAUUGUAUAGACAAUGACACUUGGCCGGUAGCUUAACUGUAAUUUCAUCCAAGCGAAAAAAUCUCUAACUUGUCGCCAACCCCUUUGUUCUUUGAGCACAACACACAUCUCUCUAAAAGUAAGCUUCGUAACAAAAGAACCCAUCACUUCCCUCAUAUCAUAU